AGCUAUAAGUUCUCUGUAGCGCAGCUAACGCAUUAAGCACUCCGCCUGGGGAGKACGACCGCAAGGUUGAAACUCAWAGGAAUUGACGGGGGCCCGCACAAGCGGUGGAGCAUGUGGUUUAAUUCGAAGCAACGCGAAGAACCUUACCAGGUCUUGACAUACUCGUGCUAUCCUUAGAGAUAAGGAGUUCCUUCGGGACACGGGAUACAGGUGGUGCAUGGUUGUCGUCAGCUCGUGUCGUGAGAUGUUGGGUUAAGUCCCGCAACGAGCGCAACCCUUAUUACUAGUUGCCAUCAUUAAGUUGGGCACUCUAGUGAGACUGCCGGUGAUAAACCGGAGGAAGGUGGGGAUGACGUCAAAUCAUCAUGCCCCUUAUGACCUGGGCUACACACGUGCUACAAUGGAUGGUACAACGAGUCGCCAACCCGCGAGGGUGCGCUAAUCUCUUAAAACCAUUCUCAGUUCGGAUUGCAGGCUGCAACUCGCCUGCAUGAAGUCGGAAUCGCUAGUAAUCGCGGAUCAGCACGCCGCGGUGAAUACGUUCCCGGGCCUUGUACACACCGCCCGUCACACCACGGAAGUUGGGAGUACCCAAAGUAGG
RNAcentral lists this ribosomal RNA (601 nucleotides) under Lactococcus garvieae. Its description in RNAcentral is "bacterial SSU rRNA". Lineage: Bacteria; Bacillati; Bacillota; Bacilli; Lactobacillales; Streptococcaceae. The record is from RNAcentral.